This is a non-coding RNA of Pelobates cultripes (western spadefoot toad), 214 nucleotides long. NCBI's taxonomy places the organism in Eukaryota, Metazoa, Chordata, Amphibia, Anura, Pelobatidae. The record is from the annotation of a GenBank genome assembly.
GACACACACACACCCCUUGACACACAGAUACACACACACACAUAUACACACUGUGUGUCAAGGUGUGUGUAUCUGUGUGCCAGUGUGUAUGUGUGUGUGAAUCUGUGUGUCAGAAACAUACACACACACAGUUACACAUUGACACAGAGAUACACACACUGGCACAUACAAACACAUAUUUACACACCUUGACACACACCGGCACAUACAGAAA